AGCUCUAAGCUAGUCCCUACUGAUGCCUAUUUCUUUGGUCUCAUUCUGUAAAACUACUAACUCCUUCUACAGCAGGAAUAAGGGAAUCGUUACGAACGCAAACAACGUCUUUUUUUGCAUCGCAUUCGUUGAUGGUUGCCGCUUCUUCUCUCGUUAUGCACCUUCAAGUUGGGUACGAGUCAGGCUUUCCUGGACUGGCUAUCUCGGCGGGAUUUUGCUCCUUAUUUCGUUCACU
Molecule: unclassified non-coding RNA, 235 nt
Filed under: uncultured bacterium
Lineage: Bacteria
Description: contains 16S-23S intergenic spacer region
Source: RNAcentral